Long non-coding RNA from Protopterus annectens (West African lungfish), 1425 nucleotides. RefSeq lists it as uncharacterized. Lineage: Eukaryota; Metazoa; Chordata; Ceratodontiformes; Protopteridae. The record is from RefSeq and is a predicted model, not a curated record. The transcript has 3 exons.
AGUAUAACCCGCCUCCCCAAGGUUGUAUCUGCAAACUGGAUCAUUUUUACACAUCUGUAUGUUUCAUUGGUACAUACAUGCACAAGGUUUGCAUUCCAGAGUUACUUUACAGGGCAAUGAUUUGCGAAAUGAAUCUCAUAACAUCCACAAACUCCAAGUUCUUCUGCAGGUCCCAGUCGUACUCCUGAUGGUGCCACCAAUAAUCCUUACUAAAAACCUACACAGAGUGCACACAAAGCGCGAAUGCUUUAAAGUUGUUAGAACUUCUCACAGACAGAAUUUUUUUCUUUUUUUCGUUUCUUUUUUUCUUUCUUUUUUUGUUUUUUACUUUUCUUUUUUAGUAAUGCUCUAGUCUCCUCCGACCCGGGCGGGGCUCUAGUUGCUUCCAAGCCCCAUCCUCCCGGUUGCCCCUCCCAUUCACCAGUGCCUUACCUGGUGGGAUCCCCAGUUUUACUCAUCACCGUGCAGGUCCAUGUAUUCUGUUGGAAAACUGUCUUCCCGCUGUCCAUAUACUUCAGUUGGGUGGCACAGCUGGGUUUCGGGGUCCCCCGGCGCGUGGCCGGGAACCGGCAGUGGUGAGAUGGGCGGCUGUCUUUUAGUCUUUACCGGGAUCAUUUUUUCCAUUUUUUUGGGCAAGGGGAGGAUUUGUUGUGAGGUCAUUAAAAGCUGUGCGCGUUCCCGCGGGCAGACGUCCGGACUUUCUUCUAUCAGCUGUGCGCUUCAACGAAACAGCUGUAGCCCCCAGCACCCACCAGAGGGCAGUAGACACCGGUUUUGGGCCACUCCCCUCCCGCUGAAAGGAUAACCGUCUGCGGGCGCUUAAAUUUUCAAUUCCCGGUUUACUAGCCGACUAUCUGGAUUCUUACAGCUCUAGAUUAUCAAGUGGGGACAAAGCUUUUGGUCAUUAGAGCUUUCUGUGUGUUUAUUCUGAAUAGUAGUAGUUUCUGAAGAGUGCUGGGUAGCUAUGGGGUUCCCUAUGCCUACUUGACCUACCGUCAGUUUUAGGUUGACCAAACCGUGUUGGACUCUGUAAGUGAAGAAAGCGAAGGCGGUGUGUGGACUGGCAAGGAACCAUGACAGGAGUAAUCCAUGUGCAGUGAGGUAAAAUGCCAGACACCGAAGCAAGCCUUGAAAGUGUAAUAGGAAAUGGUGGAUGAAUGCUUUUGAUUUGUCAUGGGGUAAGAUUUUAUGAGCGUUAAGAUGAUCGUUGUUAAGGGAACCUUCCUCAUUUGCUUCUCAGAAAAUGUUAGAGGGCAUCUGAACUAUUACACUUCUGAGACGCCACCUGGGCCUAGUAUUUGCAUUUUUUAAAUUCAAUUCAUCAUUUGUAAAUUCUGUUUUAGUUAAAUAUUUUGUUAGAUAUUUCUCAAUUUAUUAUUAUCUUCAAGACUGGUACAUUUAUAAUAAAGGCUACUAGUUGUUUAA